This 305-nucleotide ribosomal RNA is filed under the name uncultured bacterium. Its description in RNAcentral is "bacterial SSU rRNA". It matches the Rfam family "Bacterial small subunit ribosomal RNA", at positions 333 to 636 of the family's 1533-position model. The record is from RNAcentral.
UCCCGCCUACGGGAGGCAGCAGUGAGGAAUAUUGGUCAAUGGUCGGGAGACUGAACCAGCCAAGCCGCGUGAGGGAGGAAGGUACAGAGUAUCGUAAACCUCUUUUGUCAGGGAACAAAGACUGGGACGCGUCCCCGGAUGAGUGUACCUGGAGAAAAAGCAUCGGCUAACUCCGUGCCAGCAGCCGCGGUAAUACGGAGGAUGCGAGCGUUAUCCGGAUUUAUUGGGUUUAAAGGGUGCGCAGGCGGUCUGUUAAGUCAGCGGUCAAAGCCCGGGGCUCAACCCCGGCCCGCCGUUGAAACUGG